UUCACUUCUUGUUUUUCAUCGCCCCGAUUCAGAACCCAGACGAAGACAAGUUUUGGUGCUGGGAUUUAUGCCCAAUCGAUCUGAAGAUGCAACUUGGAGAUGGAAGCAGCUAUGUCUUCUGCGAGACAAGACUUCUCCACCUUUGAAGCUUGGUCUUGGCUUUAUUGCUUCUCACUAUGAAGAGUUAGAGUGAUUUCGAAGGAGUACCCACUACUUACGAGCUUAUUUCUUCACCUUGGGUGUUCAAUUCGGCUGCCGCAUCCUAUCGAACUGGUGUCGUGUUAUCAUUCUGUAGUAGCAAAGUUAAUUACCCUUCUUUCUAGCUUCAUGCAUGUUAUUUGAAGAAGAAUAUGUCUUUUGCUUUGGGACUUGAUUCACUGAAACUCUUAGCUCCAGUUUUAACAGUAGGUAUAUUAGAUAGAAAACCACUUGGCCUUCUAUCGCGGCCUGUUAAUCACUGCCUUGGAACCCCAGUAUUGUUUUUGCUUUGAUGCUUUUGGUUUAAAUGUAAAAGCCUCCUCUUUUAUCUGUAAAGAAACAAAACUGGCUUAUAUUAAUUUUGCUUCUUUUGUCUUUUCUUCUUUGUGGUAUAAUCACACUCCAGCACACUUGCACAAAGGGGAAGGCAUAGUUAAUUAACAUUCAUCCCUGGAAGACCACAAACGUAGAUCUUUCUUAUUUUGCUUUCUCAUGUUGGCACCUCUUCACUACUUUUAAUUUUGUUUUCUUUUGUUGGCCACCCUCUGACACCAAGCACAUAUUCAUUAAAAAUUCCUUCAAUCUUCAACACUAGCACCGCAUUUAUUCUUCUCUUUUUGUGCUUUGUCAACUACUGGAAACAUUUUGUUCACAGAACACAAUGCUUUUGAUUCUUUGUACAAAGCAAGGACAUCAGCUGCAGUCAAAGUUCCAGAGUUUCAAAUUGAAGGCAUAUGAGGCUGGAGCAAAUUUGGAGUCAAGCAUCUUUGACACGUUGCUGGAAACUUGAGAGUAAGCAUCAUGCUAUUGGAACUUGAGAGAGAGCAAGAACGCCGCUGGGAUUUUAAGAGAACAAGGACUGCGUCGGUGGUAUUUGGAGGGCCAACAAGAGAACAGGGAUUUGAAAGAGCAAGGCCUGCAUCACUGGGAUUGAUUUAAGAGAGCAAAGCCUUCUGCCCCGAUUUGAGUUCAUCAGGACGCUGCCCGGCAUGGUUCAUCGGGACGCUGCCCGGCAUGAGUUCAUCGGGACGCUGCCCGGCAUGGUUUCAUCGGGAUGCUGCCCGGCAUGGUUUCAUCGGGACGCUGCCCGGCAUGUUCAUCGGGACGCUGCCCGGCAUGGUAUUUUUGUUCUUUUGUUUUUACUUUGGUAUGGCAUCGUUGAGAGGCCUGUGAACAUCCGAAAAGGUGGUGGAGCCUGUGAACAUUCAAAGAGAAGGUGGAGCAUGGAAGGGAGGAGAUCUCAACCUUUGUGGUGUCUUCAAUAUCUCCUCUGAACUUUGUCUUCUAAGUUGCUUUCUUGCCUUCGCUGCUUCCUCCCUCUGCAAUUCCACGCUGCUGUGCUCCUGACGUUUUUGUCCUCCGUUCCCUCCUCACGUUGCGGCCCCCCUUUUCUUCUUUUCAUGUAGUGCUUUUAUAUUGCACCGAUCAUGAGUUUGAUUUGUAUAAGACAUGGAGUUUUAGAGUUCAACUCGGAGUGAACUAGCUGGACAUUUUAUCUCCUUUUUCUUUUGACGUGAA
Long non-coding RNA from Rosa chinensis, 1716 nucleotides. RefSeq lists it as uncharacterized. The transcript has 4 exons. Lineage: Eukaryota; Viridiplantae; Streptophyta; Magnoliopsida; Rosales; Rosaceae. The record is from RefSeq and is a predicted model, not a curated record.